CUUGACCAAUAUAACACAAUUACUAAAUAGGAGAGAUGGGAUUUAUGUGCAAACAUAUCUAAUUCCAGAGAAGGCUCUCUUGUAUUUAGGACACAAGUACAGGUGGAGUGAGAGGCAUCGACUUCCUGAGGAUUACCUCAGCGGCUAAAUGAGGUAGAAAGCAACCAUUUGUUUUCACUUCUUCAAUAAAACAAGCUGUGCUAGAGCAGAAUCCAAAAUUUCAGAUUUUGCAACAUGAGAGUCUGAAAGACAGGCCAACACAGGCGGCUCUUUGGAAACAAGAGACCUGGUACUUCCAACAGCCAAAAAGCUGGCCAAACACCAGGAUGAGGGGAAAGACAUAUCAGGUGUCUUCAAUUGGAGUCUUCUUGUCUUUGUUUCCUGUCUUGGAGCUCUGAGCCCUGCUGCGGAAAGGGACUUUAUUCACCAGCACAGGCAUUGUGAGAAGGUUUACAUAACUAUAAUGAUGAGUAAAUGUGAUGACACAGAAAAAUUGUGUCAGGGACAUUAAAAUGGAAGGAAACAAGCUAACAUUUCUUAGUACUUAAGGUGAGAUAAUUUUUAAAUCAUUUGUUAAAAUCACUAUAUUCUGUUCAUUUGAAUGUAACCAAAAAGUAGGGGAAAUAUAUAUAU
RNAcentral lists this long non-coding RNA (633 nucleotides) under Vulpes vulpes (red fox). Its description in RNAcentral is "lncRNA (ENSVVUG00000023899.1)". The record is from RNAcentral. Lineage: Eukaryota; Metazoa; Chordata; Mammalia; Carnivora; Canidae.